AGGAAAACCAAAUCUUUACCACCAUCCUUACAGCCUCUCCCAGUUUAUUCUCCUUUUUGUCAUCCUCUGCAAGGAAGGUCGCAGCCUCUCAGAAAAACCCACAAGCCAUCAAAUAUUUAUCUCUAUUUCAUGUCGGUUACCUUUAACCAGUGAUAGCGUCUAGACCUCAAGCAUCUGAGGAUAAUAUGGAGUAGAAGAGCAAAUGCACUACCCUAAAUGCAUUAGAGGUCAAUACCCAACAAAUAGCAGCCAUAGUUUGAGGGAAACAUAAAAGUGUCCCCAUUAUUGAAUAAAUAAUUUAGUCAAAUAAACAACCAAAAUUUAAAAAUUAAAAAAAAAAACACUGCAGAGCGUUGAUUGCAAGUUCCCAUAGUGAUGUGGUUGUUGUCUAAAAUCCAGAGAUAUAAACUCUAAUUAAAUGUGCAACAAAAUAAAAUUGUUAAUUGCUGAUACAUAUAUUUAUUCUUAUUCCUGUUCUUAUUCUUAUUGUUGUUCCUAUUUUUUAAAUUUUGUUCCCAUUCUUGUUCUUAUUCCUUUUCUAGUUCUCUUAUUAUUAUUAUUGUUCCUAUUCUUAUUCUUAUGCUAGCUCGCAUUCUGAUUCUUGUUCUUAUUUGUAUUCCUAUUAUUAUUAUUAUUCUUGUUCUGAUUUUUUUCCUGUUAUUAUUUUGUUCCCAUUCUUAUUCUCAUUCCCAUUCUUAUUCGUAUGCUAAUUCCCAUUCUUAUUCUUUUUCUUAUUUCUAUUGCUAUUUUUGUUUUUGUCCCCAUUCUUGUUCUUAUUCUUAUUCCCAUUCUUAUUCUUUUUUCAGUAUUGUGGGAUUAUUGUACCAUGACUUUACAUGUUCAAUGUGCUUUUUAAAAACUGAAUUUAAAAAUCAAACAAAAAAUUACUGCAUAGCAAGUGUUACUCCCUCUUUUACUUUUUACUGUGAUUAUUCCCUCCAUGGAAACAAAAUUCCAUUCCUUUAUAAACAGCCUACAAAUGGAAACCAAAAACUACCAGUCAUCCACAAGUCUUGUCCAUGGCUCACCCACAGAGUUUUUAGGGUUUAAUAGGAGAUUUUUACACUCACUUGUAAGUCCAUUGAUAGUAGCAAGGUUUUCUUUAAUAUUAGGAACAUUAAAGUGAAGACAGAUUUUUACAUUGAGACUAAUUCUUUCUUUACUUUUUAACUCCAAGAAAAAAAACUUGUGGAAGCUGCUUUUUUACCUUAUUACGGGGGUCUACUUUACAUGCGCGUCAUCUCCUCAGUUUAGCCACCUACUUAUUUAGUUUGCCACACAUCUCAGCAUUUUGCUACAAGUGCAGAGUCUCUGAAUCACCAUUACAGUUACCAUCUCAAAUGGUUGCUUUUUGAUCUACUGAGGGUUUGGGGAAAAACAACAUAUUCACUUUGCAUAUGACCGCACUCACAUGUAUUGUUCAAUUGUUCAAGCAACAUAAGGAACGUGGAUGUUUUUCUUAGCAGGCCACUAGUCAUGUUUAUUGUGUGUAUUUGCAUAUCUUUCUUAAUAUGGUUUGAGUUUGAUCCUACGCUGAUGCUCCCUUUUGACAGAGAUGCAAAUAUUUUGCAUACUGUUUGCAGAUAUCGUCGUAGAGAGAUUUAAAACAUUGUUGGUUUCCUUUUAGGUUCACUGGUCUUUAUCAACUCCUAAAUAAAGUCUAUCUGUUUCUGUUGCUUCAUUCCUAAGUGCUCUGCAUUUUCCACUAGAGUUAGGGUCACAAACUUUAUCUGUCU
This is a long non-coding RNA of Astatotilapia calliptera (eastern happy), 1736 nucleotides long. The record is from Ensembl. NCBI's taxonomy places the organism in Eukaryota, Metazoa, Chordata, Actinopteri, Cichliformes, Cichlidae.